UUCUGUUGACUUUGUUUGUUACAAUUUCUUUUGAUUAUUUUUUAAUUAAUUUCCUUUCAUUUUACUAAUUAAUUGAUUCAAUUGAUUUAAUUACUUUACUUUAGUGUUAAAGGGCAAAUUUGUUUGUGUCAAAGAGUAAAGGUGAACAUCCAACAUUUGGGUUACUUUGAGUUUUAACCUUUCGCUUGAAAUUAUUGAAUUGAAUUUGUUUCAAUUGAUUUUCCUUUUCGUAACUAGAGACAAGGUAACACUCUAGUGACCACAAUUAACUGUGAUAAUCUGUUUGAAAGCUAAAAUCUCUGACAUUUUGGAAAAUUUUGUCAUAAGCUUGUCAACAACAAACGACAAUCUUGAAAAUCAAUCUUGAUCAAUUGUGGUUUUUUUUUGGUGUUUUGGUUAAUCAAUCUCACGGAAUUAAAUCAUUUACUUGAAAGAAUUACAUGUAAUCCAUAUAAUAUUUAUAUUCCUGAUUUGUGGUCAACCUUCAAUCAACUUGGACACUUAAUCAAUCAACUAAACCAAUACAACAAUUAACACAAUAAAUUGUCUCUCAUACAAUCUUAGUCAAUUAAUCAUUUGUAAGUAAAUCUAUCAAUUAAUUAGUAGUAUAUUAAUAUGAUUGUUUAUCAUCACCUUGUAACCUUUUUGAUUUGCCUUAGCAACAUGACGCAACUUAACCCUAACCUUUUAUGCUUAAAAUAACAACACAGUUUAAAUUUGUAUCAGUCGCCAUUUUGUUUCAACCCAAUACUCUAGUAGUUGCUAGUUUAUUAUAUUCACUGAUUGUGUUUAUAAUAAUAUUAAUUGUUAGAUAAUUGUUUCCCUAAAUUAUAAAUACUAAUUGUUUUAACUGAAAAACAAUCAUUUAACCUUCAAAUGUUAAUGUAAAAGUGAGAAACCAUCAUCAUCAUUAUCAUUUCAGUUUCCCUCUUUCAUUUUUUUUUAUAUAUAAAAUCCCAUCAAGUAUAUGGUCAUAAGUUACAAUGUAAAAAUCAAAUUGAAUCAAAUAGUUGAUUGAUAAUUGUUAAUUUCUCCAUCUAACUAAUCAAUUAUCGCCAUUUUUUCAUUGUUGUAAAUAUUAGUUUCAAAUUGUUGUUAAAAGGUUGGUAACUUUUACUUACCAGCAAACAUUAUUUACGGUUUACCUUGAAUCCUUUUCGAGUAGCCUUCCCGUUAGCCUAGUUAAUUAACCAGUAACAUAACAGUUAACCAUUUAGUGUUGACUCUCACCCACUUUUUUAUAACUCACUCACUCACUCUCUCUCUCUCUCUCUCUCUCUCUCUCACUCACUAUCUCUCUUUCACUCCCUCAUCAUCAUCGUUAUUAUUACCUUUUUUGACACAACAACAAGUCUAACAUUUGAAAUAAUUUUCUUUUCUUUUUUUUAUUCGAUUUCAUGAUUUUCUGUUAAUAACAAUAUCUACAGGAACUAUUAUUCAUUUGUGUUCUAGUUCCGUGUAUGUGUGAGUGUAUUUAUGUGAAAGUAACAUUUAUAUUCCACCACCACCACCAUCAUUACCUCUGAAUUCACCAGAACAAGGAAUUGAUUGUACAAUAGUUUCUCUCAAUUGAAACUCUUUGAAUCAUCUUCUCGUUUGGAUAUUUUUUCAUUUUGGAAAAGAAUUUUUUUUUAUUCUUUCCUUUCUCUCUCUUUCUCUUUCAAUCUCUCUUUCAGUGUUGUAACAUGUUGUUUUUUUCUUCUUUGGCCUGAGAGACCUUGAGAUUCAGUGAGAGGGGAUAAGUAGACAAACAACAACACUGCAAAGGGAAAGUGUGUGUGUGUGGAAUAAGAGUAAAAAAAAAGAAAGAGAGAGUUGAAACUGUUGCUAACUCGUCUACUACCUUCUUGUAACACUCCCAAAUUAUAUCUUCUAUCAUCACACUCACACACAUCUCUCAUCAUCAUUACAACCUCAUCAUCAUCUCACCAGUAACACAACAAUUACAAUUUACCCUUUAGACAAUAAACAAUCAGAAAGAAAAAAAAAUAAUAACAUGAAUCACUCAUGAAAUAUGAAAAAUUGUUUACUAACCUCAAGGAUUUUCACUUUAUAGUUUUCGGUGCUUCAAUGAUAUGUCACAUUAGUGAAUAAUAUUAUUUUCGAUCACAAUUUAUAACAAAGAUAAUCAUCAUCAUAGAAAACAAUAUAAACUCAACGUUGAUUUUUGCUCUCUCUCACUCUGACUCUCCUAAGUGUUUCUCUCUCUCUCUCUCUCUAAUCAACCCAAUUAUUAACUCGACUUAUAUGUUUAUUUUUUCAUCUUCUUCCUUCUACUGUUGACAUUUUUGUGACUCUCUUCUUAUAUAUUCUUGUCUCUUUUUCUCUCUCUCUCUCAUCAUUUCUGUUUCCUUGUUCUCUUUUUUCUGUAUAUGAUCUGUGAUAAAAUCAUCUUCAUCUUUAAUUAUUUUCACCAUGAUGCCUAAAAUUAACCCUAACCAG
Long non-coding RNA from Panonychus citri (citrus red mite), 2442 nucleotides. RefSeq lists it as uncharacterized. The record is from RefSeq and is a predicted model, not a curated record. The transcript has 3 exons. NCBI's taxonomy places the organism in Eukaryota, Metazoa, Arthropoda, Arachnida, Trombidiformes, Tetranychidae.